Non-coding RNA from Pantherophis guttatus, 304 nucleotides. The record is from RefSeq and is a predicted model, not a curated record. NCBI's taxonomy places the organism in Eukaryota, Metazoa, Chordata, Lepidosauria, Squamata, Colubridae.
AGGUACCAGAAGACUCUGGAGAAACAGCCCCAAGGAGCAGAGGGGGAGGGAGCAACUCUGCCAGGCUCGCACUGGCCCAGACUGAUGGGUCCCGGAUAGAGUGACAUUUUCCCCAAACACUUUUUAUAACUGGGCUACGGUAUCAUCAGAGCUCACGAUGACUACCAGCCAGAAAAGGGGACAGAUCACCAAGCUUAAACCAAGAUCUCUUGGCUUGAAAGAAGGAUUGACCGAGAUGUACCAAGGGGAGUUGCUUUGUGACGUCACGCUGGUGGCCGAUGGACAGAGGUUUCCUUGCCACAGG